UGUUAAAAAUUUCAUUCAUUUCUAUUGUUAAAAACUGACAUGGCUGAUAGAAUAACCAGAAAGUUAAAUGUGGCGUGUCACGUGUACCUCAUUCUGACGUGGACCGGUUUUUAACAAUAGAAAUAGACGAAAGUUUUAACA
Molecule: non-coding RNA, 141 nt
Organism: Gossypium raimondii (Peruvian cotton)
Lineage: Eukaryota; Viridiplantae; Streptophyta; Magnoliopsida; Malvales; Malvaceae
Source: Rfam